GGGGAUGAUCGGUUUCGACAUCGCCUGCGAAACCACGAGAAGCGGGUCGAGGAUGCGGGGUUAUCUCGUUAACGCCCUCCGCAAAACAUAAGUGCCAAUUCAAACAGCACUGUUGCGGCCAAGAAGGCCACCUUCGCUCUCGCAGCGUAGGUCUUCCUUCUAGCUAAAUAGCAACUGUCGGUCCGGGAAUGCUCUCUACCCGGGUUCCGGCAUUAUCCAGAGAGAUUGCUGCGUGACUGUGUCUCAGGGUCACGCGGGACUUGCACUGUGGCUGGGCCCGUCGACCUAGGUGCCUGUAGCAAAGGUCGGGGCCGAGUAGAACGUCUGUACAGGCUACGCCCGUAGAAGGCGUGGAAUCACAGCGAUGGACGGGGGUUCAAUUCCCCCCAUCUCCACCA
This 398-nucleotide transfer-messenger RNA is filed under the name Microbacteriaceae. RNAcentral describes it as "Herbiconiux sp024979315 Standard tmRNA". It matches the Rfam family "transfer-messenger RNA". Rfam says of the family: Bacterial tmRNA, also known as 10Sa RNA or SsrA, is named for its dual tRNA and mRNA-like properties. Its role is to liberate the mRNA from a stalled ribosome. RNAcentral also lists the same sequence under 1 other name. The record is from RNAcentral. Lineage: Bacteria; Bacillati; Actinomycetota; Actinomycetes; Micrococcales.